UUCCGAAGGUAGCGGCGACCCAAGGCGAAGAAGAGUGCAAUCACAAACCACUAGAGAAGAAAAGAAAAAAAAUGAAUUUCGAAUCCGAUCACGACACGAGUAACUUUCGAAAGCUUCCAAUGGUGGUGCACAGUCCAAACAAGAUCUUACGACUGACUAUCACUAUAUACGGGCAGAAAGCGAGACAGAUUAUGAUACAAAAACAACAUCAUCACCUACCAAAAGCAAUGCAAAAUGUCGCGGAAAUCGAUUCGAGCCCGCAACCAAGCACUUGAAAUUGUGCCCCAGGGGGGUUGAACGAUGGGUAACGGGAAAAUAACAAAAAAUAUAAGAAACGAGCACAAGGCAAAUAAAUGGCACUCUUCUACACAAUACACACCACUGCACACACACACACACACAUACACACACAUACACCUAUAUAUACACAUUAUGGGUUGGAGAUGUCCGCUGCAUGCGUCUCCUCCCAGGCGCGGAGGGUAAGGAUGUAAAGGAAUGGAGCUAGAGAGGCCACCAUGACAAGACAGUCACAGUCAUACGCUGGUAAUCACCCGAAAACCACCCCUAAAACCUCUACUCGGCACAGCCACUUAGGCCUCGGUCGCUGCACGUUCGAUCGAUGCAAAGCUGAACCAAACCACGAAAACGAGUAUACGACGACAAAAACACCCCAAAUCCGUCCCAGCCGAGAGACCCACCA
This is a long non-coding RNA of Anopheles merus, 700 nucleotides long. RefSeq lists it as uncharacterized. The transcript has 3 exons. Lineage: Eukaryota; Metazoa; Arthropoda; Insecta; Diptera; Culicidae. The record is from RefSeq and is a predicted model, not a curated record.